GAGGGUAUAGUUCAGUGGUAGAGUGCGUGCUUAGCAUGCACGAGGUCCUGGGUUCAAUCCUCAGUACCUCCA
Molecule: transfer RNA, 72 nt
Organism: Camelus ferus (Wild Bactrian camel)
Lineage: Eukaryota; Metazoa; Chordata; Mammalia; Artiodactyla; Camelidae
Rfam family: tRNA
About the family: Transfer RNA (tRNA) molecules are approximately 80 nucleotides in length. Their secondary structure includes four short double-helical elements and three loops (D, anti-codon, and T loops).
Source: Rfam